CGCAAUAGCUAGGGGAGCCUGAGGGCUGAGAGUCCGAAGGCUGAGAGUCCGACCCGACGGACAACCCUCUGAACCUGAUCUGGAUAAUACCAGCGAAGGGAAGCGGCAGUCUGAGCGA
Molecule: non-coding RNA, 118 nt
Organism: Nitrospirae bacterium 13_2_20CM_62_7
Lineage: Bacteria; Pseudomonadati; Nitrospirota
Source: Rfam